RNAcentral lists this transfer RNA (70 nucleotides) under Bos taurus (domestic cattle). It matches the Rfam family "tRNA". From Rfam's summary of the family: Transfer RNA (tRNA) molecules are approximately 80 nucleotides in length. Their secondary structure includes four short double-helical elements and three loops (D, anti-codon, and T loops). Lineage: Eukaryota; Metazoa; Chordata; Mammalia; Artiodactyla; Bovidae. The record is from Rfam by way of RNAcentral. RNAcentral also lists the same sequence under 1 other name.
CCUCAUAGCUCAGUUGGUAGAGAAUCUGCCUGCAAUGCAGGAGACCCUAGUUCGAUUCCUGGGUUGAGAA